Molecule: ribosomal RNA, 253 nt
Filed under: uncultured bacterium
Lineage: Bacteria
Description: partial 16S ribosomal RNA
Rfam family: Bacterial small subunit ribosomal RNA
Source: RNAcentral
UACGUAGGUGGCAAGCGUUGUCCGGAUUUAUUGGGCGUAAAGAGCGCGUAGGCGGCCGAGUAAGUCCGACGUGAAAUCUGGAGGCUCAACCUCCAGCGGUCGUUGGAAACUACUCGGCUAGAGUCCGGAAGAGGAGAGUGGAAUUCCUGGUGUAGCGGUGAAAUGCGCGGAUAUCAGGAAGAACACCGAUGGCGAAAGCAGCUCUCUGGGACGGUACUGACGCUGAGGCGCGAAAGCGUGGGGAGCGAACAGG